RNAcentral lists this ribosomal RNA (262 nucleotides) under uncultured archaeon. RNAcentral describes it as "partial 16S ribosomal RNA". It matches the Rfam family "Archaeal small subunit ribosomal RNA", at positions 748 to 1008 of the family's 1478-position model. The record is from RNAcentral.
CAGCCGUAAACAAUGUGCGUUAGGUGUGUCGGUAACCACGCGUUACUGAUGCGCCGAAGAGAAAUCGUGAAACGCACCACCUGGGAAGUACGGUCGCAAGGCUGAAACUUAAAGGAAUUGGCGGGGGGAGCACCACAACGGGUGGAGCCUGCGGUUUAAUUGGACUCAACGCCGGAAAUCUCACCGGAUAGGACAGACAUAUGAUAGUCGGGCUGAAGACUCUACUUGAUGAUCUGAGAGGUGGUGCAUGGCGUCAGUGACU